Molecule: ribosomal RNA, 116 nt
Filed under: Stenopsyche taiwanensis
Lineage: Eukaryota; Metazoa; Arthropoda; Insecta; Trichoptera; Stenopsychidae
Also listed under: 1 other name
Description: partial 16S ribosomal RNA
Source: RNAcentral
AGAAUUUUAAAAGUCGAACAGACUCAAUAAUUUAACUUCUGCAUUAAAUAUUUAUUCUAAUCCAACAUCGAGGUCACAAUCAAUAAUUUUAAUAAGAACUUAAAAUUAUUAUUAUG